Molecule: long non-coding RNA, 1233 nt
Filed under: Neodiprion pinetum (white pine sawfly)
Lineage: Eukaryota; Metazoa; Arthropoda; Insecta; Hymenoptera; Diprionidae
Description: uncharacterized LOC124219172, transcript variant X4
Source: RNAcentral
CAACUGCGAAACCCGCCGGUCGGCAAAUAUAACUUUUAAUAAAAGUGUCGAUGCGCAGUGCAUUGAUUUCAUAUUAGGGAAAUGAACCGCCUGUGUACCUACCUUAAUUAUUGUAAACAGUGAGUGACAAUUAUUUGUGCAACAGUGAAGUUCCGGCGUGCAGUGCAACGGUUUUGAAAUCGCAGUGUCAGCCUCAUGGAGGGGGGGAUGAAGAAAGAGGUGACUGAAAAUAAGGUUUGGGGAACGAGGCUGCUUUGCAGAAGUUGUUGAACAACGUGAUGAUGAGGCACGGAGUUGCGGGGGGCGAUUCUGCCUUUCGCUCAUGCAUGGGGGAUAAGAAAGAGGGGGCGUCUAGUGUCGCGGGCGGUAUUUCCACGCGAUGAGGAACAUCGUGUAAUGUAUGGCUGCGAUUCUAUAUGCGCGCGUCGUUUAUUUCAUCUUGAUUACGAAGCUCAGCUGCGGAAAUGGAUGGAGAAAAUUGAUGUCACCAAUCGCGUUAUCUUCUUUAUAGGAGAAACUAUGUGAGAAGUACGAUGCUUACUUUAUUUUCAAUCGAGUAUUCAGCCGGUGGAUUGGAAACAGCAACUCGACUUAUCGUCAUGGUUUCUUAUCCUGUCGCUUCAUCGUGAUCGACGACCACGGCUUCGAUUCACAACAAUGGGCCGAAUAAUUAGAACAACGCACAAGUCCGAAGGGGUUGGCCUUCCUUUCUUCAGGAUUUCUUCACCAAAGACCUUUCAUCUCUGAAUCCAUUCAUACGACUUUGCCUAGACUAACCAGAUAUCAAGGAUUCCAAAAAAGGCGUUCCAAUUAUCGUGGUAUUAACAACUGACAAAUUGCGAAUAAAAUAUUGGAAAAUUCAAUUAUUUAUUCGUUUCAAUCCAGGUUACAAAAAGUAGCAGCGAUACAGUAUCAAAUGUAACAUAUCGUAUCUUGCAGGGGUGCGUUGCGCUUGUACGCAAGCCAGAACUUAAAAUAUACUUACUAACUACGACAAUGACUGUCUAAUAUAAUAUUUUUCAUAUUCUGCUUAAUAUAAUAUAUACUGCAAUCCUUUGUGUUGUUCUAAUGUUCAAACAUAUUACGAAAUGUUCAAUGUUAACAUACUUUUGGAUUUCUUUUCGACUUUCACUUAGUACUAUUAGGUAACUUGUUAAAAUACUACACACUGACACCCCAACACUUGUAUUAAGAUUGAGGCGUAUUAAAUAAACAGCUAAAACUUGGUAGUUA